Ailuropoda melanoleuca (giant panda) is the source of this 4662-nucleotide long non-coding RNA. Lineage: Eukaryota; Metazoa; Chordata; Mammalia; Carnivora; Ursidae. The record is from Ensembl.
AUUUUUUUCUGAAGGACUUUAGAAAUUAUUGUCGGCUUGUCAACUAACGGUAAACCACCACCCGCCCCCCCCCCGAAACACACACACCAGGUAUCGGCCUUCUAAAUUUUACAGCGGUUCUCUGUUUAGUUCCUAUCACAGUUCUAGCUCGGCCCAGCAAGUACUACUUUCCCAGUUUAACAGAUCUGGAAACAGCCCGGAGAGAUGAGUUGACAGCCCACCCCUAGAGCUAGUGGCAGAAUUUGAAACCUGAAUCUCAACUGAAUCCUUCCUCCGCUCCCCAUCGCCCACAGGAUAAAACAAAUUAAUCGCGUUGGCUUUGGAGGCCCUCCGCGAAGUGACUAACCUGUAAUCCCAACUGUUUUUAGCCCACGGUACUCUGACCCAAAAAGCAUCUUUCCCGCCCCAUCUCUUCUUUCCUCAAGUAUCCCCUGACAACUUCCUGAACCAGUUUUUCCCUCGCUCAGCGUCUACUUGGUUUCUCGGUACAUUAUGUAUCCCACCCCCUUCCUGCCGAUUCCAGACCACAUUUCCACUCCAGCAGUUGAAUUGAGAGAGAUGGGAGCCGCACCCGCCAGGUCUGGAGAACAUCGAACAACUCAGAUGCCCUCAGAUCAUCCUUUUUCAGGAUCCUUCUGGCCUCUUCAAAGAUCAUCAGUUUUGGAAGAACCAUUCCUAAAUUUCCACUCGAAAGCAGUCCUUGUCUCCCUUCUCAUUCUCAAUAUUAUUUUCAAAUUAGAGGACAUUCUUCUUGCCCCGCACUUUGAAAAUACGAUUUGAUGGUAGCCUAGCUUUUUACCAUCUCUUCUGUGACUGGCAUUGAUGACAGCCCUCUUUUAGUCACACGUCUAAAGGAGACUGUCUCCUUCCAUUUCUAGAACAUCAAAUAGCUCAUUGAGGGCUUUUGCAUGCUUUGAGGAAACUGAGACAUAACCAAACCUGUCACUGGGAAAGCCUCAGUCUCAUAGGGAGCAAACCACAGUCAUUGGGCCGUGUGCAUACAAGCUACAAAGGACAUUUAGCAGGUAAGAUCUUUUCCUUUUCUUUGGUAAGAGUUCAUAGACUGAUCAGAAUUUGCAAAAACUUACGCUUGCACUGUCAAAUACGCAGACAGAUGAGCAGAGGCUCCUUCGUAUUUGUAUAUCAUCAACGCUUUAAAAUUGUUUCCUGAAGUUUCAUUAAAAUCCUCACAGAGGGGCGCCUGGGUGGCACAGCGGUUAAGUGUCUGCCUUUGGCUCAGGGCGUGAUCCCGGAGUUCUGGGAUCGAGCCCCAUAUCAGGCUCUUCUGCUAUGAGCCUGCUUCUUCCUCUCCCACUCCCCCUGCUUGUGUUCCCUCUCUCGCUGGCUGUCUCUAUCUCUGUCAAAUAAAUUUUUUAAAAAAUCUAAAAAUUAAAAAAAAAGUUAUAAAAAAAUCCUCACAGAAAUCAGACCAUUUGAAACUCCACUUUUCAAAUCAAAGUGCUUGUGAGGCAGGAGAACAUUCCCUUAUUGCCAUGAUCGGACUCAGCGCUUGGCAUACUGUAGAAAGUGUGAUUGUGGGUAGCAUCUGACAGAAUCAGCUGUACAUACUGUAAAGGGCCAACACAUCUGUUAUCAAAAUUUCACCUUUGGCUCACCCACAGGAUAUCUCAGGUACAGCGUCUGAAUGAGGAACUGGAACUUUACUCAGUGUCACAGCACAAUCAAAGGAGCGAUACAUUCACCCAUGCCGUUGCCUGUGCUAACUGAGCGGCCACUAAUUUGAACCGAGAAUUGGUGGUGUAGGGGGAGACCGAAAAAUAAAAAUAAGUAAAUAAAUAAAACACAAACACACACACACACACACAAAAACACCUUUUGAUUAAGUUAGAAGUACUUGCCCAUUUCCUUGAGGACCUGUGAGAAUCCGUUUCCUCAUGUGCUUUUACAUUGCUUUGCUCGCCGUGCCGGAUCCUCAGUUCCUCUCUGCAUACGGCGCAGUAGGCCCUUUGUGACGAUUUACCUCCCUAAUACGAUCCCUUGCAUGCGUUCCCCGGUGGCCACCGAAUAGCACAGUCGUUGAGCUUUCUGAACGGCCGUGACGUCCAGUUCAGGAGGGCAUUGGUGUUGUAGUUCGGCUCCUGUUCACCAUCCGAACUCUUAGAAGAACAGGGCCGCAAUACGCAUCAUGUUAAAAGCUGAGCUAGCACUCACAAGCUACCAAGCACAACAGCUAACCCACAGCAAAGCGGAUGUUAGCACUCCAGAUUACAGCAUGCUGACGUCAUCGGGUGGUGUGAUAAUGGAUGAUGCACCAGCUGCCAAGCAUGGCUGUCAUUGUCAGCAGCAGGACCCAGGGAAAGUCCUGGGUCCUUUUGGUACUAAAACUAGUGCUGCUGGGGCGCCUCGGUGGCACAGUGGUUAGGCAUCUGCCUUCGGCUCAGGGCGUGAUCCCAGUGUUCUGGGAUCGAGCCCCACAUCGGGCUUCUCCUCUAGGAGCCUGCUUCUUCCUCUUCCACUCCCCCUGUUUGUGUUCCCUCUCUCGCUGGCUAUCUCUAUCUCUGUUGAAUAAAUAAAUAAAAUCUUUAAAAAAAAAAAAUAAAUAAUAAUAAUAAAAAAAAUUAGACCAGUGUUGCUUUCAGCCCCUCUUUUGGGGGUCACCUUUGUGUUUUGUACCUUUCCCUUAACCUUCUGUACCUGUCAGUGAAAACUGGGAGUUUUCUCAUCCCAGGGUAGAGUUUACCAGAUGUAGGGCUUUUAGUGCUAAAAUCAGAACAGUCCCAGACAAACUAGGAUGGUCGGUCACCCCAGCAUAUGCUUGUAGAAUCAAGAAAUAGAUAAAUACUGUAUGAUUUCACUUACAUGUGGAACCUAAAAGUGUAUGAGUUCACCAUAGAUUCAAAAACAGAUUAGUAGGGACGUCUGGUUUGUCUGCCUUCAGCUCAGGUCAUGAUCCCAGGGUCUUGGGAUUGAGUCCUGAAUCAGGCUCAUUCCUCAGUGGGGACCUCCCCCUGCUCUCUCUGCUUGUGCUCUCUCUCUGUCUCUCUCUCUCUGACAAAUGAAUAAAUAAAAUCCUUUAAAAAACCCACACAAACAAAUUAGUGGUUACCAGAGGUCUGGGAUGUGAGGGAAGGUGGUCAAAGGGCACAAACUUCCAGUUAUAAAUAAGUUCUGGGGAUGUAAUGUGCAGCGUGGUAAUUAUAGUUAAUCAUUCUGUAUUGUAUUUAUGAGAGGCAUGAAGACAUCACAUUUAAAAAUUCUCAUCUCAAGAAAAAAAAUUGUAACUAUGUGAGGUGAUGGAUAUCAACUAUACUUAUUGUGGUAAUCAUUUUGCAGUAUAUACAAAUAUUAAAUCAUAUUGUAUGCCUUUAUCUAAUACAAUGUUAUAUCUUAGUUUUAUCUCAAUAAAACUGACAAAAAUAAGUCUCAACAUAAAACAAUCAAUUGUAUUUCUAUAUACUAGCAACACACGAUUAUAAUUGCAAUAUGUAAAAUGUUUACAAUAGCAUACUAAAAAACAUAAAAUAAGUAGGGAUAAAUUAAACAAAAUUUGUUCAAGAUCUAUAUACUAAGAACUACCAAACAUUGGGGAGACAAGUUAACAAAGACCUAAAUGGGAUUACCAGGCUAACAGAUCAGAAGACCCACCAGUGAGAUGUCUCUUCUCUCCAGAUUGUUCUAUAGAAUCAACUCAGUCCUAUUCAAAAAACCAGCAAGCUUUUUUUUUGUUUUAAAGAAAUUGAGGAGUUGAGUCUAAAAUGUGUAUAAACAUACAAAGGACAAGGAUGCCUGGGUGGCUCAGUUGGUUAAGCAUCUGUCUUCAGCUCGGGUCAUGAUCCCUGCUUUCCUAGGAUCUGGCCUUCAUUGGGCUCCCUGCUCACCGGGAGUCUGAUUCUCACUCUCUCCCUCUGCCCCACCCCCAACUCUUUUGCGCAUGCUCUCCCUCUCUUUCAAAUAAAAUCUUUAAAAAAAAAAACCCUCAAUUUUUAAAAACAGGGCAAGUAUUGAAAUAGACACAUCACCAAAGAGGAUAUACGAAUGGCAAAUAGGCACAUGAAAAGAUGCCUGGCAUCAUUAGUGAUUGGGGAAAUGAAAUGAGAUCCUACCGCACACCUAUUAGAAUAGCCAAAAAUAACAAAAUAAAACAAAAAAACCGACCCUGCAAGUGCUGGGCAGAUGCAGAACGACUGGAACACUCACAUUUUGCUUGUGGGAAUGCAAAAUGGUACAGCCACUUUAUAUAACAGUUUGUUUUUGUUUUUUAAUAAAAGUUAAUGUACUUACCACAUGACUCAGCAGUCCCAUUCCUAGAGACUUGCCCAAGAGAAAUGAAAACAUAUCCACACAAAGACCUGUACAUGAAUGUUCCAGAAGCCCUAUUUAAUAAUAGCCAAGAAGUGGUGAAUGGGUAACCAGUUGUGGUACAUCCAUAUGAAGGAAACUACUCAGCUAUAGAAACUAUUGAUUCACACAUCCACACAGAGGAACCUCAAAAACUUUGGUGAGUGAUAGAAGCCAGUCCUAAAAGGCUACAUACUGUAGGAUUCCAUUUACAGACCAUUCUAGAAAAAGCAACAGCAACCAGAUCAAUGGUUGCCAGGGUAGUGGUGGGGCACAGGGGAAAUUUUGAGGGUGACAAGAAUGUGGCACAAUCAUAAUUGUGGUGGUGGUUACACUACUACAUAUAUUUCUAGAACAAACAGA